UGAGACACGGACCCAGGCCCUAUGGGGCGCAGCAGGCGAGAAAACUCUGCAAUAGGCGAAAGCACGACAAGGUUAAUCCGAGUGGAUUUCCGCUAAGGAGAGAUCUUUUGCGUCACCUCUUAAAAACUGCGUAGUGAAUAAGGGGUGGGCAAGUCUGGUGUCACCCGCCGCGGUAAUACCAGCMCCCYAAGUGGUYAGGACGAUUAUUGGCCUAAAGCAUCCGUAGCCGGCUCUKUAAGUCUUCCGUUAAAUCCAUACGCUCWACSGAUGGGCCGSCSAGGAUACUACAKKACUAGGAGGCGGGAGAGGUAGACGGUACUCGGUGGGUAGGGGUAAAAUCCUUUGAUCCAUUGAAGACCACCUGUGGCGAARGCGGYUUGCCAGAACGCGCUCSACGGUGAGGGAUGAAAGCUGGGGGAGCAAACCGGAUUAGAUACCCGGGUAGUCCCAGCUGUAAACUAUGCASACUCAGUGAUGCAUUGGCCUUGUGGCCAAUGCAGUGCCGCAGGGAAGCCGUUAAGUCUGCCGCCUGGGAAGUACGGUCGCAAGUAUGAA
Molecule: ribosomal RNA, 555 nt
Filed under: uncultured crenarchaeote
Lineage: Archaea; Thermoproteati; Thermoproteota
Description: partial 16S ribosomal RNA
Rfam family: Archaeal small subunit ribosomal RNA
Source: RNAcentral